CAGCAGCCACGGUAAUACGUAGGGCGCAAGCGUUAUCCGGAAUUAUUGGGCGUAAAGAGCUCGUAGGCGGUUUGUCGCGUCUGCCGUGAAAGUCCGGGGCUCAACCCCGGAUCUGCGGUGGGUACGGGCAGACUAGAGUGAUGUAGGGGAGACUGGAAUUCCUGGUGUAGCGGUGAAAUGCGCAGAUAUCAGGAGGAACACCGAUGGCGAAGGCAGGUCUCUGGGCAUUAACUGACGCUGAGGAGCGAAAGAAUGGGGAGCGAACAGGAUUAGAUACCCGCGUAGUCCCUGUCUCUUAUAC
Molecule: ribosomal RNA, 301 nt
Filed under: uncultured bacterium
Lineage: Bacteria
Description: partial 16S ribosomal RNA
Rfam family: Bacterial small subunit ribosomal RNA
Source: RNAcentral